AACAUCAAUUGAAUAAGGGUUGUGUUUAAAAUUUUUCAAACUAACAGAUAGGGCCUUACUCUCUUCAAGAGUAGCGGUCAUUUGAGUUUGAAUAGCCGCUAUUUGUCGGGUGAGUGCAUCGAAUUAUGAGGGGUCCAUGUUUAAGGUACUGGAGCUAGAAGUGACAAGAUGACCAAUAUGUAACUACAUGCACUGUAAUAGCAACUUAAUGACAUGCAAUAGAGAGAUCAAUGAACAAAAAGUGC
This 245-nucleotide long non-coding RNA is filed under the name Olea europaea (common olive). RNAcentral describes it as "long non-coding RNA (OEUR_LNC014668)". Lineage: Eukaryota; Viridiplantae; Streptophyta; Magnoliopsida; Lamiales; Oleaceae. The record is from RNAcentral.